RNAcentral lists this ribosomal RNA (1292 nucleotides) under Escherichia coli. RNAcentral's name for it is "partial 23S ribosomal RNA". It matches the Rfam family "Bacterial large subunit ribosomal RNA", at positions 196 to 1529 of the family's 2925-position model. Lineage: Bacteria; Pseudomonadati; Pseudomonadota; Gammaproteobacteria; Enterobacterales; Enterobacteriaceae. The record is from RNAcentral.
AAACAUCUAAGUACCCCGAGGAAAAGAAAUCAACCGAGAUUCCCCCAGUAGCGGCGAGCGAACGGGGAGCAGCCCAGAGCCUGAAUCAGUGUGUGUGUUAGUGGAAGCGUCUGGAAAGGCGUGCGAUACAGGGUGACAGCCCCGUACACAAAAAUGCACAUAUUGUGAGCUCGAUGAGUAGGGCGGGACACGUGGUAUCCUGUCUGAAUAUGGGGGGACCAUCCUCCAAGGCUAAAUACUCCUGACUGACCGAUAGUGAACCAGUACCGUGAGGGAAAGGCGAAAAGAACCCCGGCGAGGGGAGUGAAAAAGAACCUGAAACCGUGUACGUACAAGCAGUGGGAGCACAGAGCAAUCUGUGUGACUGCGUACCUUUUGUAUAAUGGGUCAGCGACUUAUAUUCUGUAGCAAGGUUAACCGAAUAGGGGAGCCGAAGGGAAACCGAGUCUUAACUGGGCGUUAAGUUGCAGGGUAUAGACCCGAAACCCGGUGAUCUAGCCAUGGGCAGGUUGAAGGUUGGGUAACACUAACUGGAGGACCGAACCGACUAAUGUUGAAAAAUUAGCGGAUGACUUGUGGCUGGGGGUGAAAGGCCAAUCAAACCGGGAGAUAGCUGGUUCUCCCCGAAAGCUAUUUAGGUAGCGCCUCGUGAAUUCAUCUCCGGGGGUAGAGCACUGUUUCGGCAAGGGGGUCAUCCCGACUUACCAACCCGAUGCAAACUGCGAAUACCGGAGAAUGUUAUCACGGGAGACACACGGCGGGUGCUAACGUCCGUCGUGAAGAGGGAAACAACCCAGACCGCCAGCUAAGGUCCCAAAGUCAUGGUUAAGUGGGAAACGAUGUGGGAAGGCCCAGACAGCCAGGAUGUUGGCUUAGAAGCAGCCAUCAUUUAAAGAAAGCGUAAUAGCUCACUGGUCGAGUCGGCCUGCGCGGAAGAUGUAACGGGGCUAAACCAUGCACCGAAGCUGCGGCAGCGACGCUUAUGCGUUGUUGGGUAGGGGAGCGUUCUGUAAGCCUGCGAAGGUGUGCUGUGAGGCAUGCUGGAGGUAUCAGAAGUGCGAAUGCUGACAUAAGUAACGAUAAAGCGGGUGAAAAGCCCGCUCGCCGGAAGACCAAGGGUUCCUGUCCAACGUUAAUCGGGGCAGGGUGAGUCGACCCCUAAGGCGAGGCCGAAAGGCGUAGUCGAUGGGAAACAGGUUAAUAUUCCUGUACUUGGUGUUACUGCGAAGGGGGGACGGAGAAGGCUAUGUUGGCCGGGCGACGGUUGUCCCGGUUUAAGCGUGUAGGCUGGU